UAAUCUUGAAUUCUUCAUGAAAACGAGGCUGCCCAUUUCGGUUUGGGUUCACGCCAUUUUGCAUGCAGCAAUACUAGUUCGUCGGCUGCCCAUUUUGGUUUGGGGUCACGGCAUUUUGCAUGCAGCAAUACUAGUUCGUCGGCUGCCCACUUUUGUUUGGGAUCACGCCAUUUUGCAUGCGGCAAUACUAGUUCGUCGGCUGCCCACUUCAGUUUGGGGACACGCCA
This 227-nucleotide long non-coding RNA is filed under the name Nicotiana benthamiana. RNAcentral describes it as "long non-coding RNA (NBEN_LNC035751)". Lineage: Eukaryota; Viridiplantae; Streptophyta; Magnoliopsida; Solanales; Solanaceae. The record is from RNAcentral.